Long non-coding RNA from Thunnus maccoyii (southern bluefin tuna), 1282 nucleotides. RefSeq lists it as uncharacterized. NCBI's taxonomy places the organism in Eukaryota, Metazoa, Chordata, Actinopteri, Scombriformes, Scombridae. The transcript is spliced from 4 exons. The record is from RefSeq and is a predicted model, not a curated record.
UCCUGUGUGGAUGCUGCAAGCGUGCGAGACGCAGCAGUUCAGCGACGCACACGCACUGCUGAGGUUCACACAUCCAGUGUGUCCCAGGCGCACAGAAAAAAAAGUGCGCAGUGCCAAUUCAUUUCCUAUUGGUCAUAUAGGCUGUCACUUCACUUCAGCUUCACUAAUUGGUGGCCGACUGCACGAGUGGCCAAAUAACAUACAAUCGUCAGCACCCUUAUUUGGACUGUUAACUUUCGAGUAGGAUACAGGAGCUGAAGUUGAGGAGAGAAGAAGUUGCAGAAUGACCGGAUCCAAACCAAAAGACUACAUUUCCCUUCAACCAAAAUGAGGGACGUACAGCUGGAAACUAUAGAGGAAGAGGCUAAGAGGAUGAUUAAAAAUAGUGACUGUCCAAUUACAUUUUUUUAACUGUUGUGUUGCUUUCAUUAGGGUCCCAUAGAGUACUGGGAAAUGUGCGUAGAUAAAGGCAUUUUGCAUUUGUCACCUUUGAGGACGGCUAUACAGAGAAGUUGUUGAAAGUGUGGCACAGAAUGACAGAGGGUCCUGGCUAUGUGAGAAGUGUAGUUCAGAGUUCAUAAAACUUGUGGAAGAGAAGAAGAAGAUGGAGGACAUUCUUUCCAGCGUAAAUAUCAUCCUUUGAAGAAGGCUCUUCAAGAGCUCCUCACCAGUAUUGGCCCAUUUCUGUCGUGCUUGCCUCCAUAGUGCACCAAUGUGAGCAUGGCAGCCUACGACUUUUCCAUCUCCUUUUUGAGCAAGAUUGGGAUUGGUGGGCUGUGAGUUGAUUUUUGGUAUGUUGUGAAAAGAUAUAGAAAUACAUAGGUGUUUAUAACCUUUGGUGUAGAUGCUUUUGUUUUGUGAAAUACUUAAUAUUUGAAAUUUCAAGCCCUUCUAAAACAAUUAAUUCUUUUUUAGGGGUCAAACUACAAUGUUUAAGAACUACUGUUUAUAAUCUUUGGUAUAGCUGUUUGUUGAAAUAUUGAAUAUUUGAAAUCUCAAGCUGUUAUCUAAUGAUUAAUCAAGUUAAAUAGUCUGAAAAGGGAAAAUAAGUCAUUUUUGGUGUCAAAGUUCAUUCAGUUUAUGCAACUAUGGGAGAAUCAUGAAUCAUGAAUACAUUUUUUUAUCUGUCAUGAACCACAAAGGUUGAGAUCAGCUGCUCUAACUGACAUUUGCACUGUGGUCUUGUUUUGAUUUUGAAUACCAAGUUAACACUGAUGUUGCAAGUAAAAGUUGCAUGUUUAAUGUAAAUGCAAAAUAAAAGUCUGGCUCAGUUGGCUUCAAA